CUAAAACUAAUGCACUUUAAUACAAUAAAUGCUCCUUCAUGAAGAUUUCAAUGUCCACUUUGCGAUGUAACUGUUUUAAAGGGAUGUUAAUUUGUAUUCAUAACAUUUUGUUCGAUGUGUAAAGAGUCUGCUUUGAUUUAAGAAAUCAAAGGUUUGGUUUGUAACAUACACAAAUUAAAUGUGUGGUGGGACAGUACUACGGUGCAAUGAAUGAGAGGGAUUGGAUUACAGGUAAAAAGAAAAGAUUGAGGAAAAGAUGUGUGAAUAAUGAAAAUUCAAAGUAAAAAAAAUUAUAUUUUAAGUAUUGAAAUUUGUACACAAUUUUUUAUUCAGAAUAUAAAAGUGUAAAAUGUACACGUGUAGCAAUUUUAAGGCAACGUAUGCAAUUAAAUUUACACAAACUUGAGUGCACAUAUACAAGUAGGUAUGCCCAUCUCCAAAGCAAAUACAGAGAUCAAUGUACCAGAUGGGGUUGAGGAUGUACAGAGGUCAAAGACAACACAUAUUGAUAUAAUAGGCACAAAUAUAUCUUACACUAUUUAGUGUAUCCUACACACGUCUAGUUUAAUCACACUUUAAAUAUGGUAAAAUGAUGCAUCUAUUACAGGGAUAAUAGUCAUUUUUCAUCAGAUGAACUUGCAGCGACUGCAGCAGAUCAAAGUGUCUAAAGUUUUGACAGCCCUUCACAUCAAACUUCUUCCUCGAACAUCACUGGCUGCCUGCGCUGCUUUCCCUCUCCAGUAACUCUGAUUAACAGCCUGUAGGCUGUAUGGCUCAUACUGAUGAUGCUGCAGCAGCCUUUACUCCAGCUACACGACAAGCUGCCAGCUUGUACUGACAUUAGGCUUGAGGAGUUAAAAAACGACUGUGUCGAGCGUGAGAAACAGUAUGAUCUUGUCAUUUUACCACAUAUAGAAUUAGUUUUGUCAAUAAAUGGUGCAGCGUCUGGCAGUUGAAAGCAAAGCGAUGUUCUCAGAGUCAAAUCUAUGACUUUGACAAGAGAAGAAACUGUGUUCUUUCUGUUCUGGUUUGAAUUAUUCAACACCAGACAUUCUUCUUCACAGUGUCUGCUACUUCUCAAGUGACUGGUUGAGCAUUUGACUGACGGAAAGUUAAUGAAUUCCAAUUUCAAUAAAUUAUUUGUGUGGCUAUUGCACAUAGACUGUAUAGAAAGAUGGAUAACACGUCUCCACUUGCUCCCACUAUCCAGAGAUGAAAUAAAAAUAUCUCGGAUUUGAUAGCUGCCAUCUUGCACCCGUGAUAAGGGGAAUACACACACUUGACCAUCAGUCUCAGCUGUAAACCAUGUGUGGUAAGAACUACCUAAAAUCGCAGAAACCAUCUUUGAAAAAAACUUGUUUGACGUGUAAAAAGAACGUAGAUCUGUCAUGGACACCUUAGUUUAAUGAGAGGUGGGAAACAAUUCUUUCUUCCAUCUACUCCCAUUCAUACAGAUUUGUUUUUCUGCCUGACUGAUGCUCUCCUUAUGGAUCCAGUGUGUGGUAUAUUGCACGUGGUGGGAGGCUGACCCCUAAAGACACUGGAGAAAGUCUCUUGCUGUGACAGCUCAGACGAGCUACAGUAUAGGUGUGUAAACAAAGCGAAACCAUGAAAUCUUUGAGUGCUUAAAUCUUUCAUCUCUCUAAAACAAAAUGCAACUUUAUUUCCAGCACAGAAAAGUGAAAUUGUAAUUCUAGUCCACACAAACUCACUUAUCACACUCCCUUUCAACUUCCGCGGCAGAACAGUUCUCCCAAAGGACCCUGACAAAAAUACAGGCAUUGUCUUUGAUCUAGAUUCUCUUUGUCGAACGCAUGAAGGCAUAUCCCAAAAUCCAAACUCUUUCUUCACAAUGAUACUCAGAAGUUGGCAUUUAGGUAGACCUCCUAUGGGUUUGGGGGUGGCCCAUGGCGGUGACAGCCAUUACAGCCUCAAAAGGGGAAAAUUAAGAAUGAAGUAAAACUUAAAAGAAAUGUAAAAAGUUAAGUUGUGUUUUCCCCACAUGGAUGCAUUAUACACCUUUCUAUAUAAUGGCUACACAUCCUUUUUAAUGUAAUAUUGUUGAGUCUAUGCUACUUCUCACUCGUAAAAAUUAAAUAAAAUAGUUCAUGUAGCUCCAGGGAACACAAACUGAGAUGUUUACUAAGAUGUAUUUUGAGAAAGUGUGUUUUCACUGUUUCUGUCUCUGGGGUCAGGGUCUUGGUCAACAACAGAUUAUUGGGGUUUUUUGUGGUCUCAUAUUUAGUCUCUGCCAACUAGAUUCAGUAUAGAUAAAUGUGUUCUUUUGCAGAGGAAAUGCAUGUUUUGACACACACACACACCCUCACACACACAAACUCGACUUCACAUUGACUUAUAUUUAUUUCCUGGAGACUUACUCCAACCUGAACCAUAGUUACUAAUUGCCUAACCCUUAGCCAAACCUAAACCUAAACCUAAACUUAACUUAAAGCUAACCCUAAAAUAUGUCUUCACCAAAUUUACUGGUUUGCUUACAGGGACUUGCUUUUCUUCCCAAGGAAGACAAGCCGCUAUAAUGUGACAUUGUAGACAGAUUUAGGUCCCCACAACAGUAAUACUUGGACACCACACACACGCACACGCACACAUGCACGCCCCUAAGCCAAGGCUGCUGUUCAUGUUCCCCAGCACAUGUUCACGUGUUGACAGCCCCAGAGUGAGAGACCUUUGCUGGACUUGCAGACAAACUGAUCCCCCAGUUUUAUUUUUUAAUUCCUUCCAGAACUGGCUGCUGCUGCUGCAACACACAGUAUUACUGGCUGUCCCAGCCCCACACUUAAAGAUUAUUUCCUGUUAUUAAAAAUCCUGAUCCUGAACACUCCUGAGCAUCACAAAGUAUGACAAUAUCAUAACCUGCAGCACCACAUCAUCAUCAUCAUAUAAAAGAAAGUAGAAUGAUGCUUAGAGAGUACAUACUUCUGCCAAGGGAAAAUACCCAUCUCUCCAUGUUGAAGAAAGUGAAAAGCUGCAUACAAAAUGUAAUGGUUCCUCCUUGGUCAUAACCGACCCCUCGACAAAAUUUGAUCAAAAUCGGUUCAGCAGUUUGUGACGGCCCUGGCCUUAUGUGUUUCCCUGGCUGUGUUGUCUGUUGCAGGUGGUUUGCUGCUUUGUUUUGCCUGACUUCCUGGUUACUGGGAGGCUCCCCCUACUCUUGAUUGCUGACUCACUGCACCUGCAACAGAAUUAAGACCUUAAAUCCGAGCUGAAGCGAAGAAGUUUGGACACUUCGGGUUUGAAGAGCGUUCUUCUAGCGAGGCUGAAACAGGCUGUCGAGGAUGAAGGUGUGUCCCCGAAAAGAUGCAGCUUUCAGGUGAUGCGAUACCUCGGAAAGUUGGAAAAGCUAAAGUGAAAAAAACGGAUUCAGACGCCGACACCACCGUGGAAGAAGAUGUCCUUUACAAGGAAACUGAAGAGUAUUGUUGUGUUUACAGACAAAUUAAUGCUUGGUUGCUGUUACAGCAGUUACUCCUCCCCACCAGUAGGAGGUGAGGAGAGGCAGUGAAGAGUGAAAGAGGGAGCAGAGAGUGAGAAAAUGUGCUGUACGCUGUGAGCAAGGUACAACUUAUGAGGACGCCAUGGCCACGCUAGUGAAGCACUUCAUCCCAAAAGUGAAUGUGCUAGCAUGCAGACACAUUCAGACGGCGUCUGCAGAGGGUUGAUGAAACUGUUACACAGUAUGUGGCGGAUUUGAGAGCUUUGGCUGCGCCGUGUGGUUUUGGACAAGAUGCUACUAGAAGAGGAUCUCACGCUGGACAAAGCCCCGACCAUUUCAUGCCAAGUGGAGGCAGCGGCCAAAAAUGCCACGCUGUUUUCUCCCACCAGCCGGUUCCGGUUGCGCCAGUACAGAAACACCAUCAUCUGACCGUCACAAGCAGGCAAGUGAUAAUCAGAAUCAAGGUAACAUCUGACUGCAAUUGCGGAAGCUCCUGCACUGAAAGACAUGGCAGCACUACGUUCCUUCUUGGGCUUGACUUCGUGGUUCAGCAAGUUCCUGUCAAACUAUGUGACAGUGGUGGAACCACUGAGACAACUGCUCCUCACGAAUACACAAGCUGAAUUCCAGUGGACUGCUGCAGACGAUAAAAGCUUCAUUAAACUCAAAACGAUGCUUCUGAAGAGCCCAGUGCUCUCCAUCUACAACCCCAAACUGCCAACAUUCAUCAUCACAGAUGCCUCAGAUUAUGGGUUGGGUGCUGUCCUGACGCAGUUGCACUCAGACAAUGUAGAGCGCAUUGUUGCCUUCGCUACCCGCACCCUAUCAGCUGCUGAGAGGAAGUACUCCACAGUAGAAAAGGAGGCACUCGCCUGUGUGUGGGCAGUUGAAAAAUGGAGAACUUAUGUGUGGGGACACAGAUUGACACUCAGAACUGAUCACAAAGCCCUCCCAACGCUACUCAGCACCAGAGGCAUGAACAGAGCUGGCAUGAGAGUUGCACGUUGGUCAUCUAGACUGAUGUGUUUCCAGUACGACAUGCAGUAUCGUGCAGGUAGCCAGAACAUCAUGGCAGACUGCCUCUCACGUGUUCCACUCAGCAACUCCUGUACUGCUGCAGAUCCUGAACAGGACUUAGUCUCAGAGAUAGCCGAGAUUUUACCUCUACUGACUGCACUGCCGCUCGCAGAUUUCAAAGCCGAAUGUAAGGACUGCUCUUUACACAACUACGACAAGUCCUUCACUCAGGGUGGCCCAAGUUGAAAAAGUCACUCCCAGACGAGAUACAGCCGUACUUCCUGGUACGUCAUGAGCUUGCAGUUGAGUCACCGCUGGUCUUCCGUGGAAACCGCCUGGUUGUUCCCAAGUCUGUACGAAAGAGAACAAUACACCUAGCUCACGAAUCUCUCUACCCAGAGGGAUCUCAGGAAGCACCAAGGGCUGACACAGAUGAGGAAAACUGCAGCCCAACAGAGACUAACACUGUGCUUCACAGAGAGAGACAACCACCAGCUCGGACUAAAGACUGUGAUGAACUAGAUCUACGUCCAAGAUAAGAAGACAUGCAAAGGUUGCAUCCUUAAAAAAAAACAAGACAACAGCAGUAACGUGAAUUUGAGUUCUGUACAGAUUUCAGAAGAGUCAGUGCUAUCACUAAGCCGGAUUGUUACCCAAUGCCAUGGAUUGUGUGGAUGAGGUAAGGAGUGCAAUAUUUGUGACAAAGCUGGAUCUUUUGAAGGGCUAUUGGCAAGUACCACUGACACAAAGGGCAAAAGACAUCUGUGCUUUUAUUACACCUGGGGGACUGUUCAUACCACAUCAUGCCAUUUGGGUUGCGGAACACUCCAGCGCCUAAUGAAUAAGGUUUUGCAAGGGCUUUCUGGAUGUAAUGGGUAUUUAGAUGAUGUUGUUGUGUUCAAUGACUCUUGGGACGGUCAUGUUCAAUGUCUCAAGGCUGUGUUUGAUCAUCUGGUUGAGGCCAAUCUGACAAUUAACUUGUCAAAAUGUGAGUUUGCUAAGGCCACAGUAACUUAUCUGGGUAAGGUUGUGGGCCAAGGGGAAGUACGACCCGUCAGGGCCAAAGUUGAGGCUAUGGAAAAGUACCCAGUGCCAACAACAAAGAAAGAGCUGGGGAGGUUUUUGGGUUUGGUUGGGUAUUACUGGUGUUUUUGUCUAAGUUUUUCCUCUGUGGUGGCCCUACUGACAAACCUUCUUGGUAGAAAGGCUGUAUUUGUGUGGUCUCCCCAAUGUCAAGCUGCUUUUGUUGCUGUGAAAAGCCUGCUCUGUUGCUCUCCUGUGCUUGCAGCUCCAAACUUUGAGAAGUCUUUUAAAAUUCAGGUGGAUGCCAGUGGAGUUGGUGCCUGAGCCGUACUGUCGCAAGAAGGGGGAGGGGGCAUUGACCACCCAGUCUGUUUCUUCUCACGUGGUUUGCUGCUUUGUUUUGCCUGACUUCCUGGUUACUGGGAGGCUCCGCCUUCCCUUGAUUGCUGACUCACUGCACCUGCAAGGCCGAGUAUAAAGGCCAGGCUGCAUUCGACUGAUCUCGCUCUCUCCCUGGACAGCCGAGCUCCUGCUCCUUGGUUGUACUGUUGCUCUCUGCCAUACAACACAAGCUACAUACACACGGUUUUCACUACAUUCCACACCUCCACCACACACUGACAACUGACUUGACAUUCAUACAUGUUGUUAUUCUGUUGAUUAUAUUAAAAUAUGUUGCUUUGAUUCAA
Long non-coding RNA from Hippoglossus stenolepis (Pacific halibut), 6183 nucleotides. RefSeq lists it as uncharacterized. The transcript is spliced from 3 exons. Lineage: Eukaryota; Metazoa; Chordata; Actinopteri; Pleuronectiformes; Pleuronectidae. The record is from RefSeq and is a predicted model, not a curated record.